This 426-nucleotide ribosomal RNA is filed under the name uncultured Pseudomonadota bacterium. RNAcentral's name for it is "bacterial SSU rRNA". It matches the Rfam family "Bacterial small subunit ribosomal RNA", at positions 356 to 774 of the family's 1533-position model. Lineage: Bacteria; Pseudomonadati; Pseudomonadota. The record is from RNAcentral.
GGGGAAUUUUGGACAAUGGGCGCAAGCCUGAUCCAGCAAUGCCGCGUGCAGGAUGAAGGCCUUCGGGUUGUAAACUGCUUUUGUACGGAACGAAAAGCCUCUCUCUAAUACAGGGGGGUGAUGACGGUACCGUAAGAAUAAGCACCGGCUAACUACGUGCCAGCAGCCGCGGUAAUACGUAGGGGGCAAGCGUUAUCCGGAUUUACUGGGCGUAAAGCGUGCGUAGGCGGCUUUUUAAGUCGGAUGUGAAAUCCCCGAGCUUAACUUGGGAAUUGCAUUCGAUACUGGGAAGCUAGAGGAUGGGAGAGGAUGGUAGAAUUCCAGGUGUAGCGGUGAAAUGCGUAGAGAUCUGGAGGAAUACCGAUGGCGAAGGCAGCCAUCUGGCCUAAUACUGACGCUGAGGUACGAAAGCAUGGGGAGCAAACA